GCGCUCUCUCAAGUCUCCUCUUACUGUGCCAUCGUGGGGAACAGUCUCAUGGCAUGAUAUGGAGCUGGAGAGGAGGGGAGAGGAGAACAGAAGGCAAGGUGGGAAAGGACACCUGGCAGAGACAACAUCUGGAUCCUGAACCUGGAGGAGAAAUCCACUUAUAUCUCACUUUAGAUUUGCCAGCUGCUUUUAUUUUUAUUUGGACUUACAGAAAGGUUGAGAAGAAAAUACGGGAGUGAACUGUAGCAAUAAACGGUUUGUG
This 262-nucleotide long non-coding RNA is filed under the name Homo sapiens (human). RNAcentral's name for it is "HSALNT0115925". The record is from RNAcentral. Lineage: Eukaryota; Metazoa; Chordata; Mammalia; Primates; Hominidae.